This 292-nucleotide ribosomal RNA is filed under the name uncultured bacterium. Its description in RNAcentral is "partial 16S ribosomal RNA". It matches the Rfam family "Archaeal small subunit ribosomal RNA", at positions 455 to 747 of the family's 1478-position model. The record is from RNAcentral.
GUGCCACCGCCGCGGUCAUACCGGCCGCCCUAGUGAUGGCCGAUCUUCUUGGGCCUAAAGCGUCCGUAGCUGGGUCUGAAAGUCCAUCGGGAAAUCCGCCCGCUCAACGGGCGGCCGUCCGGCGGAACCUGUGUGGCUUGGGACCGGAAGGCUCGAAGGGUACGUUCGGGGUAGGAGUGAAAUCCCAUAAUCCCGCACGGACCACCGAUGGCGAAAGCACUCUGAGAAGACGGCUUCGACAGUGAGGGACGAAAGCUAGGGUCUCAAACCGGAUUAGAAACCCCUGUAGUCC